This 253-nucleotide ribosomal RNA is filed under the name uncultured bacterium. Its description in RNAcentral is "partial 16S ribosomal RNA". It matches the Rfam family "Bacterial small subunit ribosomal RNA", at positions 524 to 776 of the family's 1533-position model. The record is from RNAcentral.
GACAGAGGGUGCAAACGUUGCUCGGAAUUACUGGGCGUAAAGCGCGCGUAGGUGGAUUGGUGUGUCAGAUGUGAAAGCCCUGGGCUCAACCCAGGAAUUGCACCUGAAACUACCAGUCUUGAGUGGUGGAGAGGGAAGUGGAAUUCCUGGUGUAGAGGUGAAAUUCGUAGAUAUCAGGAGGAACACCAGUGGCGAAGGCGGCUUCCUGGACACCAACUGACGCUGAGACGCGAAAGCGUGGGGAGCAAACAGG